RNAcentral lists this ribosomal RNA (250 nucleotides) under uncultured bacterium. RNAcentral describes it as "partial 16S ribosomal RNA". It matches the Rfam family "Bacterial small subunit ribosomal RNA", at positions 524 to 773 of the family's 1533-position model. The record is from RNAcentral.
UACGGAGGGUGCGAGCGUUGUCCGGAAUCACUGGGCGUAAAGGGCGCGUAGGUGGCUUGGUAAGUGUGUGGUGAAAGCCCGGGGCUCAACCCCGGGUCUGCCGCGCAAACUGCCAGACUUGAGCACACUAGAGGCAGGUAGAAUUCCGGGUGUAGCGGUGGAAUGCGUAGAGAUCCGGAAGAAGACCGGUGGCGAAGGCGGCCUGCUGGGGUGGUGCUGACACUGAGGCGCGACAGCGUGGGGAGCAAAC